UACGUAUGGAGCAAGCGUUAUCCGGAAUUACUGGGUGUAAAGGGAGCGUAGACGGACUUGCAAGUCUGAUGUGAAAGGCGGGGGCUCAACCCCUGGACUGCAUUGGAAACUGUAGGUCUUGAGUGCCGGAGAGGUAAGCGGAAUUCCUAGUGUAGCGGUGAAAUGCGUAGAUAUUAGGAGGAACACCAGUGGCGAAGGCGGCUUACUGGACGGUAACUGACGUUGAGGCUCGAAAGCGUGGGGAGCAAACA
Molecule: ribosomal RNA, 251 nt
Filed under: uncultured bacterium
Lineage: Bacteria
Description: partial 16S ribosomal RNA
Rfam family: Bacterial small subunit ribosomal RNA
Source: RNAcentral